AAAUUCUUAGUUUGAUCUAUGAUGAUUAAUCCAUAUUUGCAUUUGAAGUAGCCCCAGUGGCCAUGAGUAAGUUUUAAAAUCUGCUUAUCUCACAUUUUUAUGCAACUCUUCGAUGAUGCCAAAAGGGGAAAAAGUUGUGCUUUAAACAAGUGAUGUUUACACUUUGAACAGUGAUGUUUAUAACCUAAUGUACCUGGUCCUUGAUAAUAAGUGAUAAAAAGGAAAAAAAAUUCUAACAUUGUGUUGAUGUUGAGCUGAGUUGAAACAGGGUUUGUCAUCAUCAAAAAAGGCGAAUUUGUUGGCCCAAGUAAAGGUUUGUUUUGAAGAUUGACAAAGGAAGCUCACGCAUGAACCAGGUCCAUCUCUCAGGUUCAUAAAAACGAGCAGAUAUGAGCAUGUAGGAUGCAUGUGAAGGAGAUAAGCUUAACUUGGUGUGUUUAAUAUUUCCUGAUUGAAAAGGUUGCAUAAUUAAUAAGGAGAAGGACUCCUUAAUCAAAGAGAACACUAUCCAAGAUAAGGAAGGAGUUAGAAGUUGAAAUCAACUAGAACUCUUCCACCUAGGAAGAGUAGCAUUAGAACUCUAGUUAUUUCUUCAUCUACCAACUCUAUAAAUUGCAGGAGGUUCUCACAUUACAGGUGUUGCACAAAUGCAGAAGUUAAACACGAAUUGAGAGCAAAAUAGCAAGGCAAUUUUGCAAGCAUUUCGUGUGUGAUUCAAGUGUGCAAACCUGAAGCUACAUGAACCAGAUUGAAGAACCAGCUCCAUAAAGAGUUUUAUGUGUCUUUCUUUAUUUCUAGUUCAAUUGUAGUAGGCGUUUUUAUGUUGUACCCUUCAACUUUAUCUAGAAGCAAUUGUAAUAGGUACCUUGAGUAUUCAAGUUAGAGUUAACUUGAAGUUGUCGCAACAGUUAGAGGUUGAUUGCUACAACGGGAUUAGAGGUAAUCCUUAGAUUUACAAAGAGUUUUGUAAAUACUGCUUUAGCUUAGUGAUUUAGUGAAGGGUUUGGAAAAAUCCUACUGGGAAGUGGGUCGUGGUUUUUUCACCUUUUGAGCCAAGUGUUUUCCAAGUAAAAAUACUUGUGUUCUUUACUUUCUGCAUUUAUUAUUCUACAACAGUAGUAUAAGGAACACAUAGAAGAACCAGGACCUUCCAUAAUCAGUUUAAGCGAAAAAUUGGUCAACACACAAAUCACCCACUCUUGUGUGGUAUUGAAGUAUAAAACAUCAACAAAUGAUGUGAAAUUUUAGAGACCAACUUUUGCCUUUGGAUGACAAUACUUUGAAGAAUCUAAAGAAACAAAAAGUAUUUAAAGAUGAACUUUAUGCACAAAAAAUAAUUAUAUUUUCUGAUGCAUUUUCAUAUGCUUCUUUCGGCAUAAUUAAUUACUUAGUUAUUUUAAAAGUAUUUUAUUGUUUUGCCAUUCCCAUGUGUUUGGAUUCGUUUUUUCGAAUGAUGUGUUAUCCAACAAGCUAGCUAGUCGGUAAAACUUUUGUCGAAAAAUGAGUAAGUUACUUAAAACAUAAAAUAAUAUGAAAUAAACCACUCUUUUGUAGAAAACGAGAAUAGAGAUAUAUAAGCGUCACAGGAAAUAGUUAUUAAUUCAUAGUUUAAUAGAUCUUAUAAUUAUUUAUUUUCGACUAUGGGGCUUGGGGGAUGAUUCUCCUGUUCUCUUAUGUCACUACUUGCUAGAUAUAUACACGCGAACAUGCAUAAGCAACAUGGGUAGUGAUAGAUUGAUAAGUACUCCUUCAUUCUUAAAUUGAAGGUCGAGCUCUGCCUGUGAAGUCAUGCUCCAAUACGAAUAUUGAUUGAGUUGAGGUUGCAGUCUAAUUAUUACAAUUUUAUUGUGUUGUUAACAUUUUACUAAGGAUAUUACUACAAACUUGUUUUCUUUGGGAGAGACAACCCCGUCAUUUUCAAAUUGUCUCCUUUUCAUCAUUUGAGAAUCUUAGAUUUAAAGCUCACACAUGAUAGAUGCAUCAUUUUUUAUUCAUAAUGUGUUAUCGUCUUUAGAUUCCUAUUUCUUUUUUGUUUCUUUGUCGUCUCAUUGGAUUAAAAAAAAAUUCAAGAAAUGAACAAUAUAAAAAGCGGAAGUUACACAAUUAAUGAAUAUGUACAGUCAGACCUUUCUAUGAUAACAUCCAUAUAUAAUAGUUAUUCAUUAUAAAAGCUGAGUUUUUCUCGGAACCUAUUAUUAUAUUAUGUUAUAAUAUAUGUCCUCUAUCACAAUACUUCACUAUAGCAAUAAAAAAAAAUUUGGACAAACAAAACUAUUAUAGAAAGGUUUGACUAGGGGUGUGCAUUCGAAUCGGUUUAUCGAUAAAUCGAAACGAUUAUUUGUUAUCGAAAUCGAAAUCAAAAAAAUGGAAAAAAUCGAAACCUUAUUGAAACGAUAAUGAUAAGCAUAUGUACAAAUUGAUAAUCGAUAAGUAAUUAUCGCUAAGGGUCAAAACCGAAUCGAUAAAUCGAAUGCACACCCCUAGUGUAGACACUUGUAAAAUGAGUAAUUACCUAUUUGUGUAGAUUAAUUAAUUUAUCACAAAUAUCGUAUAGCUAAUCUAUAGGGGUAUUAUCACUUUUAGUCUACGCCAGAUAUUUGGUAGCAGAAAAAGUGUAUAAAAUUUAUACUAUAAUUUUUUAAUAUAACAUACAGAAUGUAUAUAUAUUCCGCUACUAUUUUGAAAGCGGCUAUACAAUAUUAUUUUCCCUAAUCUAUAUAGAAUGCGUCACCGAUAAGAUAUACUAAAAAGACAAAAAAAAAUAUUACUUUUUUACCCUUAUUCUAUAAUACUCUUUCCUUUAUCCUAAGUCCCCAAUCCUAUUAUUUUCUCUACCACAUUUAAGGAAUGAUCAUAUUUAAAGAUCAAGAGAAUGAAAUUCAAAUUAAUGGAAAACAGAAUUAGCCGUGAUGAUGUAUUUUGUUUUGUUUUGUUUUUUUUUAUACCGUUGGAGUGUUGGUGGCAUACAUUUGAUCGCUUACUUUAGUUUUGUUGCAUGUGUUUGUUGACACAAUUUUUAUGUUAUAAACGGUGUUCGUCUUAUUUUAACUUCUUUUUGUCCAUAUUAGUUAGGCGCGUUUAUAGCGAUGUACUUUCCAUGGAAUCCCGCAAAUUUUCUUAUUGGUGUAAUCGAUAACCGAAUCGAUAAGGCCCCAAAAUCGAUAAAUCGAAAUCGAAAAAAUCAAAAUCUUAUUGAAAAGAUAACGAUAAGCAUAUGUACAAAUUGAUAAUCGAUAAGUAAUUAUCGAUAAGGAUCAAAAUCGAAUCGAUAAAUCGAAUGCACACCCCUAAGUUUGACAGUACUCGUAUUCAAGAAUGUCGAGAGGCAAAACUCAAACUUAUCUUCUACAACAGAUUGCAAUAACUUAUGUGAUGGUUUCUUCAUAGUCUCACUUACUUGCUUUGUCACUACAGAAGGCAAUUUUCUCAGAAGAAACAAAGAGUGAAGGCCCGCAAUAAGAGGCAGAGUCAGAAUUUAAAGUUUAUGGGUUUGGGAAUCUAGUACGUUUAGGUUACUGGGUUGUAAAUUAAUAAUUUAUACAUAUUUAAUAUAUUUCAUAAGACAAAUAUAGGAUUUGUAUUAAAGUUACUAGGUUUGGCCAAACCCGUAACUUAUAUUCUAGCUCCGCCCCUAUGUAACGACCCGACCGGUCGUUUUGAGCUUUUGCACUUUGCUCUCCAGUUCUCGGGCAUGACUUGCUCCGUGUAAUGUAUUAUGACUUAUGUAAAUCGUUGGUUUUGGUUUUCAGGGUAAUCAGAAUGAAUUUAGAAGAACAGUUCUCAGUUUGAUGCUUGAAAUUUGAAAGGUUUGACCAAGAUUUGACUUGUUUGUAUAUGAUCUCGGAUCAAAACAUUUAUGAUUUGGUUAGCUCCAUUAGGUGAUUUGAGACUUAGGAGCGUGAUCGGAAUGCAUUUUGGAAGUCCGUAGAAGGUUUAGGCUUGAAUUGGCGAAAUUUAGAUUUUGGCGUUUUCCGGUUGAUAGGUAAAAUUUUGAUAUACGGGUCGGAAUGGAAUUCCGAAAGUUGCAGUAGCUCCGUUGUAUUAUUUGUGAUGUGUGUGCAAAAUUUUAGGUCAUUCGGACAUGGUUUGAUUGGGUUUUUGAUCAAAGGCAUAGUUUUGAAGUUCUUGGAAUUCUUAGGCUUGAAUCCGAUGCAAUUUUGGUGUUUUGAUGUUGCUUUGAGCGUUCCGAAGGUUGGAACAAGUUUUAAUGAGGUUAUGGGAUAUGUUGUCAUGUUUGUUUGAGGUUCCGAGGGCCUCGGGUGAGUUUCGGAUGGUCAAUCGGACCAUUGCAUGUUGUUGGGAUGCAGAAAAUUGUUGAUCAGUGUUGCAGAGAAAUGGCCUUCGCGUUCACGAAGGGUUAGCUGGUAAAGGCUGGAAUUUUAGCCUUCGCAUUUGUGAGGAAGGCUCCGCGUUCGCAAAGGGCUGAUUGUUUGGGUAUCGCAUUCGCGCGUGAAGCUCCGCGUUCGCGUAGAGGAAAUUGGUCAGCUGACCUUGAGGUGUUUUAUUCACCAUGUUCGCGAGAGAGGUAACACGAUCGCGAAGGGUCAAGCUGAGGAGCCAUCACAUUCGCGAGUGGCUGGUCGCGAUCGCGAAGAGUAAUUUUAGUUCAAAGUUAUUUUGUGCUUCGCGAACGCGAGGCGUUGACCGCGUUCACGAAGAUGGUUUUUGAUGCCGGGGCAGAAUGUUUAAAUAGCCAUUAUCCGCAAUUUUGGGGCUAACUUUCACCAUUUUUGGGCGAUUUUGGAGCUUUUUGAGAUAAUUUGAAGAGGGAUUCAAGAGAUAGCACAUGGAGGUAAGAUUUUUGAACUCAAUACUCGAUCCUAUGUUGAUUCUUACUUGUUUAGUCAUGAAAAAUGUGGAAAUUAAAGCCUAAAAAUUGGCGAACUAGGGCUUGAAUUUGGAGAGUGUAAAUUGGGAAUUUGAAGGGGCAAUUGAGGUCUGAUUUUGAUGUUCUUGGUAUGUAUAGACUUGUGAGAGGAUGAGGAUUCUAUUGAUGUAACUUUUAUCAGAUUUCGAGAUGUAGGCCCGGGGGCCGAGUUUGAGCAAUUUCAGGAUUUUUGAUGUAAAUUGGAUAUUUUCGAGUGGGCUUUGUUCCCUUAGCAUAUUUUAAUAGUUAUGCAUUGAUUGUGGUUAGAUUUGGAGCAUCCGUAGGCCGAUUCCUAAGGGCAAAUGUAUCGCAGGCUAAAGUUUGGACUAGAUCGAGGUAAGUAAUGAUUAUAAAUACUGUCCUAAGGGUUUGAAACCCCAGAUUUCACAUCGUUAUGCUACUUUGAGGUGAUGCACACGCUAGAUGACGAGCGUGGAGUCAUGCACCCUUGAGGAUUGUGACUUGGUCCAUCCCGUACAACUGUUAAGUCGCGUAUUUGAUUUGAAAUCUUAUGAUAUUCCAUAUUUUAGAGAUUGAUAUUAUAUUUUGGGUUGUACGCCAUGUUUGGGGCUUUGUGUCGACCUGUUGAGACCCUUAGGGGAACUUUCAUUAUUUUUCCUCAAUCUAUUUGUUUUGAAAGCAUAUUCUCAAUCAUGUUUUACCUGUUUAUUGUUUAAAUAUGUUUUUAUCACUUUACUUCUUAAAAUGUGAAAACUGUUUGGAUUGAGUUUCCUGUUUUACUGAUGGUCCGAGUGAUAGGAGCCUUUGGGCUAUAGGAGCCCCUCCGGAGUCUGCACACCCCCAGAGAGCGAAGUCGACUAUAUAUAUGGAUCGGGCUACACACCGCAGCAAUAUAUGGAUCGGACUGUAUGUCGCAACGGUUACUAUAUGGUACCUAUUGAGUAUGGGUGCUGAGUGUGAGCACUGAUUGGUAAGAGUUGAGUCACGAGUGACUGAGAGGCUUGCCCGAGGGGCUAUCUAUAUACAUGUACACGAGUGAUGCUUGCCUGAGGGGCCUGGUUAUGAGCUUAGUGUUUUUCACUCCUCCUUAAAGUGAGUUUCUAUCGAAUAUGUUGAUUUAAUUAUUGCUUUCACUCAUCUUUAGAUCGAGCCUCUAUUGAAAAUGUUGAACACAUGUUUUAAACAACUUUCAUUUAAACUGAAGUUUUAAGUUAUGAAAUGGGUAUGAAUUUCUGUUUUGCCGAGAAACUGUAUACGAACUAUGUUUCGCCCAAGGGGCCGAUUAUGAUUUUCAUCACUUUCACUUUAUAUAUAUAUANNNNNNNNNNNNNNNNNNNNNNNNNAUUAAACUUAUAUUGAAAAGGUUAGAAAGAUAAAAAAUUUUAAGGAUUUUACUGAAGUAGGAGUUUAAUGAAAUGAUUUGAGUGGUAUUCUGAUUUGGAAAUAGGUUGUAAUCACUGUGGUGCUAUGACGUGAUUGAUGCCUUUUCUUACUGCUCAAUCUUUAUUUACUCUUAUUUCUUACUGGGUUGGAGUAUUCACAUUACUCCCUGCACCUCGUGUGCAGAUUCAGGUAUUUCGAAACCCCGUAGUGGGUGUUGAUUGCUUAGAGGUGGAGUCAUCGGAGUUAGCAAGGUGGUUGCACGAUGUUCGCAGCACUGCCUUCCUUCCCCUCAUUUUCAUUACUGUAUUUAGAACAUUUUUAGACUCUUGUUGUAUUCAGACCUUGGUAGAUGCUCAUGACUAGUGACACCCCGAUGUCGGGCUUGUGUAAUUAUUCUGUAUUUUUCUUUUUAUUUUUUUAAAUUUCAUUAUGAGGUUAUUGAUUAAUAAAUGGUAUAAAAGUAACUUUUAUAGAAUAAUGGUUGAUUCGGGAGUUGCGUCGACUGGCCUAGUUUCACGAUAGGCGCCAUUAUGACCAGGUCACUUUUUGGGUCGUGACAAAUUGGUGUCAGAGCCUAGGUUACAUAGGUCUCAUGAGUCAUGAGCAGGUUUAGUAGAGUCUCGCGGAUCAUUACAGAGACGUUUGUACUUAUCCUCGGGAGGCUGUAGAACCUUUAGAAAAAACUUCACAUUCUUGAAUUCUUAUCGAGCGCCCUUGAUUCAGCUUGGAAUGUAACUGUUUGAAUUCCUUCCAUGCAUUCAUAUGCGCGCAUGAGCGCUCAGUAUCAGAUAUGCAUCGAUGGCUUGUGAUUCCCUGAUCGAGGGCGAGAUGUGAUCUCUGUGUUGAUAUUGGGCUAGUCUGGAAGACUUGGGGCCGGAUUUUUGCCUAUAGUUUGAUCCCUGGGCUGUUGAUUGCGUGAGCACGUGUUUCUGGAUCUAUACGUUCUGUGGUAUCCCUAUUAAGGGAAGUAAGGACUGGAUAGCUACGUGAUGAGGGUAAAGUGACUACGAGAUGUUUUCAUAUGAAUCAAAUGAGGCGAGAAGUGUCUGCUUUGGGGUAGCAAGAAAUAUUAGUUACUUGAUUUUCAUCUCGAUUUGAGGUAUAGCCCUGAGUUAUGGGCGUAUGAAUAAUCUUUUCAUAUUUCCUAGCUGGGAGUGAGGUAAAUCUCAUGUUGCGGUAUGAGUUCAGACUCAGGGAGAUCAAGCGACUGUGUAAUGUCUAUGAUGGUGGAAGGUAUACAGAAAUGUUAGUUUGAGACAAGGCAGGUGGGUUACCUCCUGUGGAGUGUUCUGAAGUUGUGUGAUCCUUAUGUUGUCUGCUAGAAGAUCUCAUUUACAAGUGAAUUAUAUGUGUUGAAAUUUGAAUUUGGGUCGCUAAAGAGGGUGGGCAUGACUGUUACGAGGGUGAACGCGAGAUUUGCAAAAGGUUUAAAGUACUAGAUGGUCUGUUUUUCACGAGCCAUGAAGUAUGGAGUUUAAUCUCACUUUGGUACUAUGGCAGCAAUAGAGUAUAUGUUUAUGAGUUAUCAUAUAUGUGUUUUGAUCUAUGGCUUCGAGCCAAGGAGUCUGCUAUUGAUUAGUUGACUGCACGGUUAUGUGCUAUAUUAGUACCAGUUGAGGCGUACAUAAGAAUCGGUUAUGGCCUACGGAGUUUGAGAUUGAAGAUGGCUCGAGUAAAGAAAAAUUCUUGACAAAGGUUAUAAUAUGCUUCAUAGGUGUGUAAGAAUCACGGAAUGUCUUGAGUUUUUGUUGGUAAAGGAUGCUCGGUGUAUAGAGCAGGAAGCUGCUUGGUUGUUUUAGGAUGAGGUUACACUCUGCGGUGUCGGAGUGCUAUUGAGGCACGGGUUAUUUGGUUCGUUUGAUCAAGCUAAUUGCAGUUUGAGUAGAGUGAAUGACUCUCGAGAAUGGUUCUAAUGUGUCCAAGAUUUUACAUGGGAUAAUUGGAUAUUUUCAAGUUGUAUAUGUGGCUAGAAACCGAGUUUUCAUUGGAGGAUGUCAAGACUUGUGGCAUUUUUAUAUCAAUUAUGGGAGUUUAUAUAUCAUUAUCAGGAAGGUGAAGGUAAUGGCUUGGGAUUCGUAGGAAGUCUCUUCAGGGUAGGAUUUUGAACGUAGUGCUUUUGGGAAUAUUUAAGAGAGUAUUCGGCGGCUUAUGAGACUUAGACGGUGUGGUGUUUUGCUCGAGUCUCAUGUGGCGAGUCUGGGCUGAGGAUUGUGAUAUGAUAACAUGAAUAAGUAUCAAGACGAAGGUAAAUUUAGAGGGACUUGUAUACAUGGGAUAGCUUGGUAGUAGGUCGGCUCAGUAGGGGAAAGGAUAUGAUGAGUUCUCUGGGUACUUAUGAGGUAAUGGGUUUCUACAUGUGUUUCAUGACAAUUCCCUUGGGUUUAGUGACCUACGUAGCUCGGUUGAGUUAGAAUGGUUUAGUCUUGAUGAUUUAGUGUUGUGCAAAUGGAAUUCGGAGAGCUCUAGAUGGUUUCCACCACAGUUAGAGAGGUAUAUUUUUCCUAUUAGCGUGAGGAGCAUGGGAUGUAUAGUGAUUUUCUUCUACAUGGGAUCAAUGGGAAGUUCUUGGUUGGUUGAGUAAGUAGCUGCUGGUAGCUCGGAGUGGUUUGCAAAGUUCUCGUAAUUAUUAUUUGGGUGGUAUAGUAUAUGCGAUAUAUUGUAUGGGGUUGAGGUUUGCAUGUGUAAGGUCACGGUUCAGUUUUGAAAGAAAGGUCAUAAAUUCUUAGAUAGCAUAGGCAGCUUUAGGUGACUAGAUAAAUGAGAUCACUAAUUGGUGUGGCUUGAUGAAGGUAUACAUUUCAGAAGGGGCGAUGUGUUUGAGUUAUGGAUGCUUUAUUGGUAUUGUGGUACUAUCUCGUCUGAUCGACUGAUGAUAUUCGAGUUUUUUUUGUGGCACAGAAGAAUUAUGGGUGUACCCCUCAUGGGAUGAUUGAGUAUUAGAGGUAUGUUGUAUAUUCGAGCGGCAAAAUUAGGAUCAGAUAUGGUAAUUCGUGUGUCUUAUGGACGUGGAGACUGAAAGUUCUCAUAAAUAGGUUAACUUGUGGUUGUGGACGGUAAAGAUGUGGUCAAGUUAGUCAGAUGAUAGUAUGUACUAUGAUUCAGUCAUUGUGAACUUUCGGAGGGUUAUUUAUCUGUUGUGGGUGACUAGAGUUGAUAUGUGGUUCAUUGGUAGACCUAUAUGGAUGUGUGUUCUGCAUUGAGACGGCUUUAUUGACUUCGAGUUGCUAUUGGUGAGGGAUGUGUUGAUUCGGUUGUUAUGGAGCUGUUAGUAAUCACGGGGAUAUAUGAGUUAUCUUCCGUGUUGCGAGACGUUAGGAUUUGUUGGUUAUAGGCACAUGUGGUGCGGUGUUAUUGGGGCCUCUCAGUGGAAUUCGAGCGGGAAGAGCACUGGGUAUCGCUCGGUGGAUGGCGUAUUGGUUAUGUCCUUUCGAUUUGUGUGGUGUUAUGUAAUUGCCUCGCGGUGGUUAUGAUGAUUGCUUUAGUUUAGACAUCAUAUUGCGCACAGUUGUCGAUUUUGAGCAUAGUAACUUAAGGUGUCUCAUGAGUACUAGUGUUUGGAUGAGGUCGCGCAUUGGAGAGAAGCUAUGUGGAAGUAUGAUCUUGUGGGUUAGAUUCGUAUGUUCUAUUUCUACAAUGUGUGGCGGGUUAUCAGCCUUGUGUUGUGGUGGUGCUAGUGAGCUUGCGGUACAGCUCUUUCAUUUGAGUCACUUUCAUGAUUUGAGUAAGUUCAGAUUAUGGCUUAUUGGUGUACGGAUUGCACAAGUCCUAGCUCUAGUCUGUAUUGAUGUGAAAAUGUCACCAGAGUAGCUGUGUUGGAUUAGAUGAGAUCGUCGGGAUCUUUAAUGACUGCAAACUGAUUUGAUUUCAGCAUGUUGGAAGGAUAACAUCGAGGUUCGGUGCAGAAAUUUAUUAUAGUCUUUGCCAAAGGAGAAGUGGCUUCAUGAAUGGUUGAUCUGAGAAAACGGUUAUGGCUUACUGCGUGUUUCAUUUUUUAUUGGCAGCAUAUGAAAGUGUUGGAAUGAGACUUUAGUUGAUAAGAGGUUUCCUAUCGAUAUUCGGUUGUUGUGUGCAGUUGUUGUGAUUAGAAGUUAUCGCUGCAAGCGUUUGAGUUAUGUGGUAUAUCAUGUAAUUGUACCGAGGUUACGGGUAUGGGUUAUUAUAGCUUGUUCGGGCUUAGUCAGAGUAUAGAUGUGAGAUUUUGAUCUUGUGGAUGAUUUCAGAAGUGGAAAUGUGGUUCUAAGGUUCAUGGGCUAGGUUGGACUGUGAAAUUUCAGUUACAUUGUGUUAUCGGACCUAUACGAGAUAGGGUGACGUGGUAUCACCCCUGGGUAUGUGCAUGGUAAGGUUAUUCAGCGAUUAGUUGGCUUUUGGAACAACUCUGGGCACGUUCGAGGACGAACGUAUGUUUAAGUAGGGGAGGAUGUAACGACCCGACUAGUCGUUUUGAGCUUUUGCACUUUGCUCGUCAGUUCUCGGGCAUGACUUGCUCCGUGCGAUGUAUUAUGACUUAUGUAAAUUGUUGGUUUUGGUUUUCAGGGUAAUCAGAAUGAAUUUGGAAGAACAGUUCUCAGUUUGAAGCUUGAAAUUUGAAAGGUUUGACCAAGAUUUGACUUGUUUGAAUAUGAACUUGGAUCGGAAUUUUUAUGACUUAGUUAGCUCCGUUAGGUGAUUUGAGACUUAGGAGCGUGAUCGGAAUGCAUUUUGGAAGUCCGUGGAAGGUUUAGGCUUCAAUUGACGAAAUUUAGAUUUUGGCAUUUUCCGGUUGAUAGGUGAGAUUUUGAUAUAGGAGUCAGAAUGGAAUUCUGAAAGUUGCAUUAGCUCCGUUGUGUCAUUUGUGACGUGUGUACAAAAUUUUUAGGUCAUUCGGACGUGGUUUGUUUGGGUUUUUGAUCAAAAGCGUAAUUUGGAAAUUCUUAGAAUUCUUAGGCUUGAAUCCGAUGUGAUUUUGGUGUUUUAAAGUAGCUUUGAGCGUUCUGAAGGUCGGAACAAGUUUGAAUGAGGUUAUGGGAUAUGUUGGCAUGUUUGGUUGAGGUAUCGAGGGCCUCGGGUGAGUUUCGGGUGGUCAAUCGGGCCAUUGCAUGUUGUUUGGAAUUGCAGAAAAUUGCUAAUCAGUGUUGCAGAGAAAUGGCCUUCGUGUUCGAGAAGGGUUAGCUAGUAGAGGCUGGAAUUUUAGCCUUCGCGUUCGCGAGGAAGGCUCCGUGUUCGCGAAGAGCUGAUUAUUUGGGCAUCGCGUUCGCGGGUGAAGCUCCGCUUUCGCGUAAAGGAAAUUGGCCAGCUGGGCUUGAUGCGUUUUAUUCAUCGCAUUCGCGAGAGAGGUAACGCGAUCGCGAAGGGUCAAACUGAGGAGCCAUCGUGUUCGCAAGUGGGUGGUCGCGAUCGCGAAGAGUAAUUUUGGGUCAAAGUUAUUUUGUGCUUCGCGAACGUGAGGCGUUGACCGCAUUCACNNNNNNNNNNNNNNNNNNNUAUGAAAAUUAAAGCCUAAAAAUUGGGGAAUUAGGGCUUGUAUUUGGAGAGUGUAAAUUGGGAAUUUGAAGGGGCAAUUGAGGUCCGAUUUUGAUGUUCUUGGUAUGUAUAGACCAUGAGAGGAUGAGGAUUCUGUUGAUGUUACUUUUAUCAGAUUGCGAGACGUAGGACCGGGGGCCGGGUUUGAGCAAUUUCAGAAUUUUUUAUGUAAAUUGGAUAUUUUUGAGUGGGCUUUAUUCUCUUAACAUAUUUUAAUAGUUAUGCACUGAUUGUGGCAAGAUUUGGAGCAUCCUGAGGCCGAUUCCUGAAGGCAAAGGUAUCGCGGGCUAGAGUUUGGACCGGAUCGAGGUAAGUAAUGAUUAUAAAUACUGUCCUAAGGGUUUGAAAUCCCAGAUUUCACAUCGUUCUGCUACUUUGAGGUGAUGCACAUGCUAGAUGACGAGCGUAGAGUCGUGCACCGUUGGGGAUUGUGACUUGGUCCGUCCCGUACGACUGUUAAGUCACGUAUUUGAUUUGAAAUCUUAUGGUAUUCCAUAUUUUAGAGAUUGAUAUUAUAUUUUGGAUUGUACGUCAUGUUUGGGGCCUUGUGUCGAACUGUUGAGACCCUUAGGGGUACAUUCACUAUUUUUCCUCACUCUAUUUGUUUUGAAAUCAUAUCCUCAGUCAUGUUUUACCUGUUUAUUGUUUAAAUAUGGUUUUAUCACUUUACUUCUUAAAAUGUAAAAACUGUUUGGACUGAGUUCCUUGUUUUACUGAUGGUCCGAGUGAUCAUGAGGUUGAUGACUGAGAUAGACCGAGGGUCUGAUUCUGAGGAUAAUGGUUGAGAGAGGUCGAGGGACUGGUUGUGAGGAUUAUACAUUUAUGGAUCGGGCUGCACGCCGCAGUGAUCCAUAAAUGUGUGUGAGUGUGUGUGUGUAUAUAUAUAUAUAUGGAUCGGGCUGCACGCCAUAGCGAAAUAGUGCUUGGGCUGUAGGAGCCCCUCCGGAGUCUGCACACCCCCAGUGAGCGUAGUCGACUAUAUAUAUGGAUCGGGCUGCAUGCCGCAGCUAUAUAUGGAUCGGGUUGUACGCUGCAACGGUUAUUAUAUGGUACCUAUUGAGUGUGGGUGCUGAGUGUGAGCGUUGAUUGGUAAGAGUUGAGUCACGAAUGACUGAGAGACUUGCCCAAGGGGCUAUCUAUAUACAUGUAUACGAGUGAUGCUUGCCUGAGGGGCCUGAUUAUGAGCUUAGUGUUUUUCACUCCUCCUUAAAGUGAGUUUCUAUCGAAUAUGUUGAUUUAAUUAUUGCUUUCACUCAUCUUUAGACCGAGCCUCUAUUGAAAAUGUUGAACAAAUGCUUUAAAUAACUUUUAUUUAAACUGAAGUUUUAAGUUAUGAUAUGGGUAUGAAUUUCUGUUUUGCCGAGAGGCUGUAUACGAACUAUGUUUCGCCCGAGGUGCCGAUUAUGAUUUUUAUCACUUUCACUUUAUAUAUGUAUUUCAUUAAACUUAUAUUGAAAAGGUUAGAAAGAUAAUUUUUUUUAAGGAUUUUACUGAAGUAGGAGUUUAACGAAAUGAUUUGAGUGGUAUCCUGAUUUGGAAACAGGUUGUAAUCACUGUGGUGCUAUGACGUGGUUGACGCCUUUUCUUACUGCUCAAUAUUUAUUUACUCUUAUUACUUACUGGGUUGGAGUACUCACAUUACUCCCUGCACCUCGUGUGCAGAUUCAGAUAUUUCGGAACCCGGUAGCGGGUGUUGAUAUAUUGCUCAGAGGCGGAGUCAUCAGAGUUAGCAAGGUGGCUGCACGACGUUCGCAGCACUGUUUUCCUUCCCCUCAUUUUCAUUACUGUAGUUAGUACAUUUUUAGACUCUUGUUGUAUUCAGACCUUGGUAGAUUCUCAUGACUAAUGACACCCCGAUGUCAGGCUUGUGUAAUUAUUCCGCCUUUUUUUUUUAAAUUUCAUUAUGAGAUUAUUGAUUUAUAAAUGGUAUAAAAAUAACUUUUAUUGGAAAAUGAUUAAUUCGGAAGUUGCAUCGGCUGGCCUAGUUUCACGAUAGACGCCACGACCGUGUUUGAUUUUGGGUCGUGACACCCCACCUACAAUUGGACCUGAUGUUGUUGAGAAGUAAUAUUAAGAAGCCUAACAAUAUGCCACUCGGAUAUAUUAUAGUUUUACGAGAACAUAAUGCAUUUUGGAGGUCUUUUUUUCUUUUUCCUUUUUUUUUGGGCGGGGGGGGGGGGGGUUAGCUAGCUUUGUGUGCAUCAUGUAUAAAUUCUGACCUAUUUUGUUUUCGAAAAAGGGCCAAAGAUGUCCCUAACCUAAUGGAAAUGGCUCAAAAAAAAUCCCUGUUAAUAUUUGGGACCGGAAAUACCCUCAACGAUUUUUUAGGCUCAAGUCUGCCCAUGAGAUUUAAUAGACCGGCCAUGGUCAAAUUUACACUUUAAAGUUCCACGUGGCACGUUAUAAGUGUGCCACGUGUAUUAAACAUUAAACAAAAUUAAAAUCCAUCUUUAAAAAAUACUCAAACCAACCCGCUACCCAUAAUACUUAUAACCCAUUUAACUAAAACCUAAAAACGAGCGGUAAGUCAGAUUAAACACCCCCUCCCCCCAAACCAAUUCCUUCUUCCACAUUUUUACUUCUUUAAUUAGGUAAAUUUUCUUCUUCCUCUUCUUUCUACCAAUUUCGUUAAUAAUAAUCUCCCGUUAUCUUUGUAUAAAAAAUUAUUCUUUUGGGAUAGAAUGUCCAAGAAUUCGGUUUCCUCUCAAAGCUCAACCCAAUCGAGUAGAUGUAAUUGAGGAUAGGUUACGAGUCAAUUUACGGCCAAAACUCCUAUUAAUUUAUGGAGUAAUUAAGUAAUAUUUUGCCGAGAAACUUGUAAGUUUGUAUUUUAAUGUUCUGGAUGAUUUUACUGAAAUUUUAUUUUGAUAAGGUUGCCUCUUGUGGCUAUUGGGAAUGGUGCGACGAAGAAUUUUCCCCUCUUGUGGCUAUUGGGAAUGGUGCAACGAAGAAUUUUCACAAUAUGUGGCAUUGGGGAUCAAUAAUUUGAGAGUUUCAUUGGAUGUUGUUCGUCAUGAAAGAAUAAUUUGUAGAAAACGAUGUCUAAAAUGUGGUGAAAUUGUAUAUAUUGGAGAAGAAAGUGUAGAGAAUGAAGAUUUCCUGCUAUUGUCGUGGUGUAUAUUUGUUGGUGUAGCUGCUAACGUGAUGUAAUGGUGAUUAAUAGCUAUGUAAUGUCCAGAUUUAAAGCUAUGUAAAACUGCAGAUUUAAAGUAAUAAUUUUUAUGUAAUACUGCGGAUUUGAAGCUAAGUAGUUAGUAUGUUAAUGGAGGUAUCUUAAAAUACAAGAGGACUAUAUCCAUUUGUUUUUUACCAAGCUAUUUUGGUAUGAAAUAGACAUUUUCGUGCAAUGCAAAACUACAAAAUAGUUG
Molecule: long non-coding RNA, 15081 nt
Filed under: Nicotiana tabacum (common tobacco)
Lineage: Eukaryota; Viridiplantae; Streptophyta; Magnoliopsida; Solanales; Solanaceae
Description: long non-coding RNA (NTAB_LNC007716)
Source: RNAcentral